UAGUGUUACAGCUCUUUUGGAAUUUGUCUAGCAAGUUUCUCAGUUUUCCCUGGAAAACUCUA
Molecule: small nuclear RNA, 62 nt
Organism: Aotus nancymaae (Ma's night monkey)
Lineage: Eukaryota; Metazoa; Chordata; Mammalia; Primates; Aotidae
Gene: U7
Rfam family: U7 small nuclear RNA
About the family: Animal histone pre-mRNAs are spliced by a different mechanism than nuclear pre-mRNAs and self-splicing introns. This processing involves the U7 snRNP, which contains only one RNA species: U7.
Source: Ensembl